GUCACUUUCGCGUCCAUUCCGGGCUUCUGGCCGCAAGGCGCCAGCGCUUCCGGGCCCCAGCAGCCUGCGGUCAGGGCCUGCAGCUGGCUUCCCACUAAGAGCUGCUCACGUCCCCGAGGCCGAGCGCACCCUUAGGGCACGGUGGCCACGCGAGGGACCUCGCGGAAAGCCGGGCUUGGAGCUGGUACUCACCUUGGCUACUAGGGGCGCAGAUGCCUCCACGGGCGCUGGAGAACUGGCGCCAGGCGGGGCUCGGCGCGGCGCUCUCCUCUGGGGCGCUUCUUCCGCGGUGCCCCCGCCCUGCUGGGGGGCUCGGCGCGCCAGGAGCCGGGACCGCACCCUGCCGUCUUUACUGCAGGGCUUUAUUUCCAGGAGUUCCCAUUCGGGCGAAAGCUUUGUUCACUACAGAACUUCCCCAGAGACCCAUCCACUCUUCGGGGAAAGCACAAUUGAUUCCCUAAGAUUCGCUGACUCCUCGAAAUCUUGCUGUUUCCACCAAUUCUUGCUCAAUACUAACUAAAGCCCGCUUUGAAACACCUUCCUUGAGUCAGACUUCCAGUUCUCAAUAAACUGACCUUGCCUUUUGCUCCCAGCCAUUGGUAAAGCUUUGCCAGGUCAUGCUGUCCCUUACUGUGGCCAGCAGUUAACUCAGCCUUGUCUUACCGACACGUUGAGUUUGUAAUGUUUGGGGACUGUCAGGACAAAUACAAAUUUAAAAUAAGGUUUACUACUUCCUGUUGAAAAUAUGAGAUUUCCCUCCCUUUUUCUUCGAACAUUUACUUUUAGAAAAUUGGUAAUUAGUGUAAGUACUUUUUCCUCUCUUUGAAAUAUAUAAAUCCUUUUGAAGACUAGUUAGGCCUUUUUGUGCGCUUUAUAACCUAGAUAUGUCUUUUUCUAGGACCUAGGAGCCAUCUCUUUAAGUAUCAAGGGAGUUAAUGCCCCUGUCUCCCAGUUUUAAUGGGGGAGUAGGAGCCUAACUUCAGUGGGCCCUUUGCUCCAACUUACAAAAUUAUCUCAUAUCAUAAAGAUACAAGUUUCUUUUUCCUCUAGAUAAAGCCAAUUGGCUAACACAGAGGAUCAUCCCAAAUAUCAGGUUAGAUGAACUGUGUGUGAUGAAAAAUGCUGCCAAGUUCCCUUGAGAGCUAGUUAUUGUUUAUCUUGAAAAUGUGUGUAAUAGAUUGCUUGGCUGCACAAAAGAGUGAGAUUUCGUUCUGUCUUUGCAGUCUCUUAAUGGAUUGCCUGUGAUGGGUAUCACAUUCUAGUUUAAUGCUUAUUCAAUUACAAAGUGUUUUCUUUCUCCACUACCUUUCUGAAGAGGGUUGGGAGAUUGUACUUUUAAUUAUAUUUCCUGAACAGGAGCCAGCUUCCCACACAUAGUAGGUGCUCAAUAAAUAUUUGAAGAAUGAAUGAGUGACAGAAAUCUUUCUUAGGCCGACUCUCUAUAUUUGCAUUCCAUGAUUUGAAGAAAUUGGAAUGAACGCAGUUUUCACCCAUGGCUCCAGCAGGCCCAGAAUCGUGUUUUAUGAUUUUGUUUUGCAUUACAAAAAGGUGGUCAGGCACGGUGGCUCACGCCUGUAAUCCCAGCACUUUGGGAGGCCGAGGCGGGCCGAUCACUUGAGGUCAGGAGUUGAAGACCAGCCUGGCCAACAUGGUGAAACCCCGUCUCUGCUAAAAUACAAAAAUUAGGCCAGGUGCGGUGGCUCACACCUGUAAUUCUAGCACUUUGGGAGGCUGAAGUGGGCGGAUCACCUGAGGUCAGGAGUUCAAGACCAGCCUGGACAACAUGGUGAAACCCUUUCCCUGCUAAUAAUACAAAAAUUAGCUGGGCGAGGUGGUACAUGCCUUUAAUCCCAGCUAUUCAGGAGACUGAGGCAGGAGAAUCGCUUGAACAUGGGAGGCAGAGGUUGCAGUGAGCGGAGAUUGCACCACUGCAUUCCAGCCUGGGCAACAGAGGAAAACUCUGUCUCAAAAAAACAAAACCAAAUUAGCCGGGAGUGGUGACAGGCACUUGUAAUCCCAGAUGCUCAGGAGGCUGAGGCAGGAGAAUCACUUGAACCCAGGAGAUGGAGGUUGCAGUGAGCUUCGAUCAUGCCAUUGCACUCCAGCCUGGGCAAUAGAAUGAGACUCCGUCUCCGAUUAUGUUAGCUAGCAUAACAUAAUGCUAGCUUAUCCAUUCAAUACUGAAAGGAUUGCUUUAGUUGAGUGUCUUAAUAGCUUUAAAAAUAGAGGUCAUAAGACUCACAGACUCUUUGUGGCAAUACUAAAUGAUAAAGAAUGAAGGGCCAUGCCUGGCAAGGGUUGUCAUGCACCUCUACACUUCAAGAAGAAACUAUGCCUUAACUGCCACAAGGUUUUUAUUCUCUGGCAGCCAAACAAGCACUGGCCUCUAGAUAAGCAAUAUUCAAACAAUGUGCUUUUCAUCCACCUCCACAUGCUGACUGACACGCCCCCUGCCCCAGCCCCACCACUUCCACAAAUAAUUACUGCUUUGAUUGGACCAGAGACUGACUGCAGUAACUUUUUCCUGAUGGGAAACAACCGAACAGGGGCUGAUUCUGGCGGUUUACAGAGGCUGCACACAAGUGCAUCGGUGUCCUGAAAAGAUCUUUCAACUUAUAGGGUCUAAAUGUAAUACAUGAAUACCUGUAAAUGCUAAGAGUCCAC
This 2664-nucleotide long non-coding RNA is filed under the name Homo sapiens (human). RNAcentral's name for it is "non-protein coding lnc-NAPB-6:1". Lineage: Eukaryota; Metazoa; Chordata; Mammalia; Primates; Hominidae. The record is from RNAcentral.